CAACACAAUUUUUCUGGACAACUUUUGUUAAAUGAAAACCAGUUUUCAAACAAUGAGAAAACACAACAGGUUUUCACUGAGAGCAUGAGCUUUCAGCACAUUCAAUGUUAGAAAAGGAGAGAGAAGGGGGAAGAAAAAUGAUUUGCCUGUGCAGUGCCAGGGGCCCUACAGGUAGCCUUGACGUUUCUCAGGCCUUUUGAGGAGACCUACGUAAUGCUUUCGAUUGUAUCGACCGAGCUGGCACGUCGGCAUCUACAGGUGUAUGCUGCCGCAGAGACUCUGGCAAGGAGCUGAGCCUGGAACAAAAUCCCAGUCAUUCCUUCGUAUUAGCUUAACGACUGCAGCGGCUUACUGCCUCGCCGAUGGAUAACAACAACACCGGUACGGCGAGCCCGAAGAUUGGCAGAUGCUAAUUAUUACCCCGGCGGCGUGGGAUGGCACCGAUUCCCAUCCUCGCCGUUAUUUUCCUUUCC
Molecule: long non-coding RNA, 473 nt
Filed under: Apteryx rowi (Okarito brown kiwi)
Lineage: Eukaryota; Metazoa; Chordata; Aves; Apterygiformes; Apterygidae
Description: lncRNA (ENSARWG00000001978.1)
Source: RNAcentral